This 442-nucleotide ribosomal RNA is filed under the name uncultured bacterium. RNAcentral's name for it is "partial 16S ribosomal RNA". It matches the Rfam family "Bacterial small subunit ribosomal RNA", at positions 338 to 795 of the family's 1533-position model. The record is from RNAcentral.
CCUACGGGCGGCAGCAGUGGGGAAUAUUGGGCAAUGGGCGCAAGCCUGACCCAGCAACGCCGCGUGAAGGAAGAAGGCUUUCGGGUUGUAAACUUCUUUUCUGGGGGACGAACAAAUGACGGUACCCCAGGAAUAAGCCACGGCUAACUACGUGCCAGCAGCCGCGGUAAUCCGGAGGGGGCAAGCGUUAUCCGGAUUUAUUGGGUGUAAAGGGGGUGAAGGCGGGAAUGGAAGUCAGAUGGUAAAACUAUGGGCUCAACCCAUAGCCUGCAUUUGAAACUGUAUUUCUUGAGUGCUAGAGAGGCAAGCGGAAUGCCGGGUGUAGCGGUGAAAUGCGUAGAUAUACGGAGGAACACCAGUGGCGAAGGCGGAUUGCUGGACAGUAACUGACGCUGAGGCGCGAAAGCGUGGGUAGCAAACAGGAUUAGAUACCCUUGUAGUC